This 237-nucleotide long non-coding RNA is filed under the name Lathyrus oleraceus (garden pea). RNAcentral describes it as "Pisum sativum (pea) long non-coding RNA (PSAT_LNC006606)". The record is from RNAcentral. Lineage: Eukaryota; Viridiplantae; Streptophyta; Magnoliopsida; Fabales; Fabaceae.
GAGGUAAAAAUGUUUUGGAGAGUGUUACUUGACUAAAGGUAAGUCAAAGUUUGAGUUUGAUAUGCUUCAUGUGUACUAAAGCAUUUGAAAGUGUGAUUGAAAGUCCAUUGACUAAAAGUAAGCCAAAGUUUAUGUUUGAAAUGCUUCAUGUGUUCUAAAGCAUUUUCAAGUGUAAUAAAGAAAAUCAAUUGACUAAAAGUAAGUCAAGGUUUGAAUGAGUGUUUUAGUUUGAAAAAG